RNAcentral lists this ribosomal RNA (492 nucleotides) under uncultured bacterium. RNAcentral describes it as "partial 16S ribosomal RNA". It matches the Rfam family "Bacterial small subunit ribosomal RNA", at positions 30 to 507 of the family's 1533-position model. The record is from RNAcentral.
AUUGAACGCUGGCGGCAUGCUUUACACAUGCAAGUCGAACGGUAACAGGCCUUCGGGUGCUGACGAGUGGCGCACGGGUGCGUAAUGCAUCGGAACGUGCCCAGAGGUGGGGGAUAACGCAGCGAAAGCUGUGCUAAUACCGCAUGUGAUCUGAGGAUGAAAGCGGGGGACCAGGCAGCAAUGUUUGGCCUCGCGCCUUUGGAGCGGCCGAUGUCAGAUUAGGUAGUUGGUGGGGUAAAGGCCUACCAAGCCGACGAUCUGUAGCUGGUCUGAGAGGACGACCAGCCACACUGGGACUGAGACACGGCCCAGACUCCUACGGGAGGCAGCAGUGGGGAAUUUUGGACAAUGGGCGCAAGCCUGAUCCAGCAAUGCCGCGUGCGGGAAGAAGGCCUUCGGGUUGUAAACCGCUUUUGUACGGAACGAAAAGGCUCUGGCUAAUACCUGGGGCUGAUGACGGUACCGUAAGAAUAAGCACCGGCUAACUACGUG